UGAAGUGUAUGGUUUGUCUUGCACGAGAUAUCCUGAGAGAACCAGAGCAGUCCUUGAUGUAAAGAGGCCAGGGUUUUCAGGCCUGUCCAACAUCUCUGACCCCCACCCCUUCGCCAAGAACAGUCUGCUUUCUCCAUGCUUCUUAUUAGCUGCUGUGAGCUAAAGGAGGAGGCCUGUUAGGUGCGUCCCUCCAGACUGCGAGGCAAGCGACUCAGGGCUGGACUUGAUGGAAAAAGAAGUUUAUAAAUAAGCAACCCAAUUUCUCCAACCUUUUCGUGGAGCUGCUUAAAAGUCAAGCAAAGUUUUGCUUGUAAUUUACAACGGUGCUAUUGAAACCUGGGAGGCGAACAAUUAGAAGACGCCCCAAACAUGCUUUUUUGCUCUACACUGAUAUACUUGCCUACAAUGACAGGGAAAGCUGCUUAGUGCAACCGGCUCUUUGAGCUUUGCAGCAGUCCCCAGAC
Molecule: long non-coding RNA, 464 nt
Organism: Galeopterus variegatus (Sunda flying lemur)
Lineage: Eukaryota; Metazoa; Chordata; Mammalia; Dermoptera; Cynocephalidae
Exons: 3
Source: RefSeq, a predicted model, not a curated record